This 194-nucleotide small nucleolar RNA is filed under the name Leptotrombidium deliense. RNAcentral's name for it is "small nucleolar RNA U3". It matches the Rfam family "Small nucleolar RNA U3". From Rfam's summary of the family: Small nucleolar RNAs (snoRNAs) are involved in the processing and modification of rRNA in the nucleolus. There are two main classes of snoRNAs: the box C/D class, and the box H/ACA class. U3 snoRNA is a member of the box C/D class. Lineage: Eukaryota; Metazoa; Arthropoda; Arachnida; Trombidiformes; Trombiculidae. The record is from Rfam by way of RNAcentral.
AAGAUUAUACUUCAUAGGAUCAUUUCCGUAGUAUGAUUAGUGCUAUUCCUGUCAAACAGGAGGCUGCACGUAGUUACGAUGAUGAAAUUGGGAUCGCUUCGGGAGCAGGAAUAAGACGGUGGCUGUCGACCCCAACAGCCAUCUCUUUGAUGACAGCACUCUUCGGAGUCUGAAGUGAUUCAAUUCUGAGUGGU